GCUGCUAUAGCUCAGUGGUAGAGCACUCCCUUGGUAAGGGAGAGGUCGAGAGUUCGAGUCUCUCUAGCAGCACCA
RNAcentral lists this transfer RNA (75 nucleotides) under Rhizobium sp. RNAcentral describes it as "tRNA-Thr". It matches the Rfam family "tRNA". Rfam says of the family: Transfer RNA (tRNA) molecules are approximately 80 nucleotides in length. Their secondary structure includes four short double-helical elements and three loops (D, anti-codon, and T loops). Lineage: Bacteria; Pseudomonadati; Pseudomonadota; Alphaproteobacteria; Hyphomicrobiales; Rhizobiaceae. The record is from RNAcentral. RNAcentral also lists the same sequence under 11 other names.